This 447-nucleotide ribosomal RNA is filed under the name uncultured bacterium. Its description in RNAcentral is "bacterial SSU rRNA". It matches the Rfam family "Bacterial small subunit ribosomal RNA", at positions 335 to 799 of the family's 1533-position model. The record is from RNAcentral.
ACUCCUACGGGAGGCAGCAGUGGGGAAUAUUGCACAAUGGGCGCAAGCCUGAUGCAGCAACGCCGCGUGAGCGAUGAAGGCCUUCGGGUCGUAAAGCUCUGUCCUCAAGGAAGAAUAAAUGACGGUACUUGAGGAGGAAGCCCGGCUAACUACGUGCCAGCAGCCGCGGUAAUACGUAGGGGGCAAGCGUUAUCCGGAAUCACUGGGCGUAAAGGGUGCGUAGGCGGUUUUCAAGUCAGAAGUGAAAGGCUAUGGCUCAACCAUAGUAAGCUUUUGAAACUGUUAAACUUGAGUGCAGGAGAGGAAAGUGGAAUUCCUAGUGUAGAGGUGAAAUUCGUAGAUAUUAGGAGGAACACCAGUGGCGAAGGCGACUUUCUGGACUGUAACUGACGCUGAGGCACGAAAGCGUGGGGAGCGAACAGGAUUAGAUACCCUGGUAGCACAGAG